GUAAUGCCCCCCACCAACGGCGACGAUGGGUAGCUGGUCUGAGAGGACGCCCCGCCACACUGGGACUAAUACACGGCCCAGAUUCCUACGGGAGGCAGCAGUGAGGAAUUUUCCGCAAUGGGCGAAAGCCUGACGGAGCGACGCCGCGUGCACGAGGAAGGCCUUCGGGUCGUAAAGUGCUGUCGAGGGGGACGAUUAUGACGGUACCCCUGGAGGAAGCCCCGGCUAACUACGUGCCAGCAGCCGCGGUAAGACGUAGGGGGCAAGCGUUGUUCGGAAUUAUUAAGCGUAAAGGGUGCGUAGGCGGAUUCGUAAGUCGGGGUUGAAUCUUUUGGCUCAACUCGGGGCACGGCCUCGAUAAUGCGGAUCUCGAGUCAGGAAGAGGGUAAUGGAAUUCCCGGUGUAGCGGUGAAAUG
Molecule: ribosomal RNA, 416 nt
Filed under: uncultured Bacillota bacterium
Lineage: Bacteria; Bacillati; Bacillota
Description: bacterial SSU rRNA
Rfam family: Bacterial small subunit ribosomal RNA
Source: RNAcentral